RNAcentral lists this ribosomal RNA (1043 nucleotides) under uncultured Gammaproteobacteria bacterium. RNAcentral's name for it is "bacterial SSU rRNA". It matches the Rfam family "Bacterial small subunit ribosomal RNA", at positions 10 to 1047 of the family's 1533-position model. The record is from RNAcentral. Lineage: Bacteria; Pseudomonadati; Pseudomonadota; Gammaproteobacteria.
GGUUUGAUCCUGGCUCAGAUUGAACGCUGGCGGCAGGCUUAACACAUGCAAGUCGAGCGGGGGAAAGUAGCUUGCUACUAGACCUAGCGGCGGACGGGUGAGUAAUGCUUAGGAACCUGCCUAUUAGUGGGGGACAACAUUCCGAAAGGAAUGCUAAUACCGCAUACGUCCUACGGGAGAAAGCAGGGGACCUUCGGGCCUUGCGCUAAUAGAUGAGCCUAAGUCGGAUUAGCUAGUUGGUGGGGUAAAGGCCUACCAAGGCGACGAUCUGUAGCGGGUCUGAGAGGAUGAUCCGCCACACUGGGACUGAGACACGGCCCAGACUCCUACGGGAGGCAGCAGUGGGGAAUAUUGGACAAUGGGGGGAACCCUGAUCCAGCCAUGCCGCGUGUGUGAAGAAGGCCUUAUGGUUGUAAAGCACUUUAAGCGAGGAGGAGGCUACUAGUAUUAAUACUACUGGAUAGUGGACGUUACUCGCAGAAUAAGCACCGGCUAACUCUGUGCCAGCAGCCGCGGUAAUACAGAGGGUGCGAGCGUUAAUCGGAUUUACUGGGCGUAAAGCGUGCGUAGGCGGCCAUUUAAGUCAAAUGUGAAAUCCCCGAGCUUAACUUGGGAAUUGCAUUCGAUACUGGAUGGCUAGAGUAUGGGAGAGGAUGGUAGAAUUCCAGGUGUAGCGGUGAAAUGCGUAGAGAUCUGGAGGAAUACCGAUGGCGAAGGCAGCCAUCUGGCCUAACACUGACGCUGAGGUACGAAAGCAUGGGGAGCAAACAGGAUUAGAUACCCUGGUAGUCCAUGCCGUAAACGAUGUCUACUAGCCGUUGGGGCCUUUGAGGCUUUAGUGGCGCAGCUAACGCGAUAAGUAGACCGCCUGGGGAGUACGGUCGCAAGACUAAAACUCAAAUGAAUUGACGGGGGCCCGCACAAGCGGUGGAGCAUGUGGUUUAAUUCGAUGCAACGCGAAGAACCUUACCUGGCCUUGACAUACUAGAAACUUUCCAGAGAUGGAUUGGUGCCUUCGGGAAUCUAGAUACAGGCGCUGCAUG